Molecule: transfer RNA, 72 nt
Organism: Ovis aries (sheep)
Lineage: Eukaryota; Metazoa; Chordata; Mammalia; Artiodactyla; Bovidae
Rfam family: tRNA
About the family: Transfer RNA (tRNA) molecules are approximately 80 nucleotides in length.
Source: Rfam
UCCCUGGUAGUCCAGUGGCUAGGACUCAGCACUUACACUGCUGGGAUGCAGGUUCAAACCCUGGUUGGGGAA